Molecule: ribosomal RNA, 497 nt
Filed under: uncultured bacterium
Lineage: Bacteria
Description: partial 16S ribosomal RNA
Rfam family: Bacterial small subunit ribosomal RNA
Source: RNAcentral
GAUGGACGCUGGCGGCGUGCCUAAUACAUGCAAGUCGAGCGAACAGACGAGGAGCUUGCUCCUCUGACGUUAGCGGCGGACGGGUGAGUAACACGUGGAUAACCUACCUAUAAGACUGGGAUAACUUCGGGAAACCGGAGCUAAUACCGGAUAAUAUAUUGAACCGCAUGGUUCAAUAGUGAAAGACGGUUUUGCUGUCACUUAUAGAUGGAUCCGCGCCGCAUUAGCUAGUUGGUAAGGUAACGGCUUACCAAGGCAACGAUGCGUAGCCGACCUGAGAGGGUGAUCGGCCACACUGGAACUGAGACACGGUCCAGACUCCUACGGGAGGCAGCAGUAGGGAAUCUUCCGCAAUGGGCGAAAGCCUGACGGAGCAGCGCCGCGUGAGUGAUGAAGGUCUUCGGAUCGUAAAACUCUGUUAUUAGGGAAGAACAAAUGUGUAAGUAACUAUGCACGUCUUGACGGUACCUAAUCAGAAAGCCACGGCUAACUACGUG